UUUGUAGGUAUGAAUGUACUGGGUUAGCUCGUUUCAGUGGAGCUGUGGGGUAGGUGUGCUUCUGAGAUCUUCGUGUCUUCUGUUCUGUAACAAUAAACCAGCUCAGUAGGCUGCAACGGCAUGUUGAGACAUUGCUCAGCGGAUGGCUUUAUUAGUGGCUUUCAUUGCAUUUUAAUAUGGGAGUGCAGCCCCGAUGAGGCUGCUGGAUGAGCAGUCUGUGUUCCAUCUUAAUGAACGGUGGCCGUGACUGCAGGCUGAUCGGGGGAGCAAUGCACUGAUGGAGCAGACAGCCUAGCAGGGAGCACUCUAUUCAGAGGGCUGCACCUUGUAACUUGGCUGGCCUUUUCUCUCUGCCAGAACAAAAGUGGGGUAUUUGUGAGAUUGUGACAGUUCCUGGAAUUUACUGCUUCAUGGCACUGCCCUUUUUUCCUUUUUUAGCUUGCCUAAGUUAGCUUAUUUUGUUAAGGGCUUUUUCUGGUUACUGUUCAUGUCUGCUCAUAGGCUCCACCUGCCUCUAUCUUGCUCUCUGGUGUGCCUUUCACUUCUGCUACCACUGAGUAUACCACUAAAUAUGACUGUACCUUGAUUUUCCUUUUAAUCAUUUCCUGCUGCUAAAUAUUGCUCCAUUGUUACUACAGGCACAGUAAGCCAGAAUGACAGGACUUUUUCCUCACCAAGUCACAGGGCCUCUCCUCCUUUCUCUUCCUUUUGAUUCUAACAGUAGGAAGGGCUUCUCAUCCUCCCUAGACAUUUCAUUGCUCUGGACAUUUGUUCAAAAUGGGCCUUUAAAUGUCACUUGUGAGGCUGUUAAAAUAGGCUGUGAGUGUCUAGUCUCUGCUCAUUGUAUUGAUCUUGACUAAUGCUCACCCCAUGUGUCUGUUAUCUGGUUUUGAAUCACUAUGGUCAGAAGGGACCUCUGGAGACCAUCUAGUCCACCCCCCCUGCUCAAGCAGGGUCACCUAGAGCAUGUUGCACAGGAUCACGUCCAGGAACCAGGUGCAUCAAAUAUACUGCGAGGUAGUGGAUGGGACUGACUAUAUACUGUGUGAGAAGGCUGAGGAACUCCUUGCAACAGAAUCUGUGAAUGCUAAAAGAUUGUGUGGAUUUAAAGAGCUGGGGGAAAAUGGAAGAAAAAUCUGUCAGGGUACAACUAAAUACAGUCACGAAGAGUUGAAAGCUAGAGCAGUGUUUUUAGGGAUUCAAUACUGCCUAUUCUUCUGUGCUCUUUAUCCCAUGUUUCAGGAAUUCAGGUGUUACGUUAUAAGCAUGUUUCAUCCCAUGGUUAACAAAGCUUUGCUCUGA
RNAcentral lists this long non-coding RNA (1302 nucleotides) under Anas zonorhyncha (Eastern spot-billed duck). Its description in RNAcentral is "lncRNA (ENSAZOG00000012470.1)". Lineage: Eukaryota; Metazoa; Chordata; Aves; Anseriformes; Anatidae. The record is from RNAcentral.